RNAcentral lists this unclassified non-coding RNA (252 nucleotides) under Hevea brasiliensis (rubber tree). Lineage: Eukaryota; Viridiplantae; Streptophyta; Magnoliopsida; Malpighiales; Euphorbiaceae. The record is from RNAcentral.
GAGGGACCUUUCCUUGAUGGGUUUCGCAGGCUUUGAUAACAGGUUCCUCUUCUUUCAUGGGAAAGAUUCAAAUAUGAGUUGUUGCAACAAUUUGGGGAAGCUAACGAUGACAACUCUGAUGGAACUAUCACCGAUUGAUCAACUGAUAGGCUCAGGGAUGGAGAUUGAUGAAGGUUCUGGCUCCAACGCAGCCCAAGUACUGGAGCUCUUCAAAGUUAACUACCUGAGUUAUCUAACUAUGGGAUUGCGAAA